Molecule: long non-coding RNA, 484 nt
Organism: Gadus chalcogrammus (walleye pollock)
Lineage: Eukaryota; Metazoa; Chordata; Actinopteri; Gadiformes; Gadidae
Exons: 3
Source: RefSeq, a predicted model, not a curated record
AACUGCGAGACAAGAAGAGGCUUGCUCUUCAAGCCAACGCUGCCAAAUGUGGCAAAAUAUCAGAAAUGUUUGCCACGGCAGGGCCAUCAUCAGCUCCCAUGGAUGACAGUGAUGCUGGUGGCGAUACGAUACAACGACCUACGGCUACUGAAGAUGUCGAAGUCCCUUUUGACUGGGUACACACCCAGUCGGAUGAACUCUACCCAUUACUGUGAUGGACGUGGAGUAUACUUUUUUUGUUAAUAAAUAACACCUUUUGGAAGUGUAUAAUGCGUCCACUCUCACUGAUUGCUUUUAACUCAUUGCAUGGCUUAAGGUAUGUGGAAAAUAGUUGCACAGUUGGAGUCAGGCUUUUAGCUAGGAUUUUUUGUACAGCACUUGAUCGUUUUUAGGUAAUAUUACAAUUACACUGAUUUAUUUAUAUGUUUAGUAAUUUAAUACAUAAUAACAGUGAGUGUAACUGAAACUAGGUAACAAGGUACAA